Molecule: ribosomal RNA, 322 nt
Filed under: uncultured eukaryote
Lineage: Eukaryota
Description: partial 18S ribosomal RNA
Rfam family: Eukaryotic small subunit ribosomal RNA
Source: RNAcentral
CCCUUAGAUGUUCUGGGCCGCACGCGUGCUACACUGAGUAAUUCAAUGGGUAAGGGAACGCUAGAGCAUUACCUAAUCUUGAAAUUUGCCCGUGAUGGGGAUCGACGGUUGCAAUUUUCCGUCGUGAACGAGGAAUACCUUGUAGGCGCAUGUCAUCAUCAUGCGCCGAAUACGUCCCUGCCCUUUGUACACACCGCCCGUCGCUCCUACCGAUUGAGUGAUCCGGUGAGGCUCUGGGACCUGGACGGAAAGAGCGUUUCGCUUGUUCUGUUUGGGAAACUUGGUCGAACCUUAUCAUUUAGAGGAAGGAGAAGUCGUAACA